This 385-nucleotide RNase P RNA is filed under the name Granulosicoccus sp. Its description in RNAcentral is "RNase P RNA component class A". It matches the Rfam family "Bacterial RNase P class A". From Rfam's summary of the family: Ribonuclease P (RNase P) is a ubiquitous endoribonuclease, found in archaea, bacteria and eukarya as well as chloroplasts and mitochondria. Its best characterised activity is the generation of mature 5'-ends of tRNAs by cleaving the 5'-leader elements of precursor-tRNAs. Cellular RNase Ps are ribonucleoproteins. The record is from RNAcentral. Lineage: Bacteria; Pseudomonadati; Pseudomonadota; Gammaproteobacteria; Chromatiales; Granulosicoccaceae.
GGAGUUGGCCAGGUUAUCGCUGUCGGUCUGUCACGCAAGUGGCAGUAAGGCCGGUGGAGGAAAGUCCGGGCUCCAUUGGACAAGACGCCAGGUAACCCCUGGGGGGCGCGAGCCUACGGAAAGUGCAGCAGAGAGUAAACCGCCUAAGCGCAUAAUUGUCGAUUGGCAAUGAUGCGACGGUAAGGGUGAAAGGGUGCGGUAAGAGCGCACCGCGUCGGUGGCAACAUUCGACGGCAUGGUAAACCCCGUCUGGAGCAAGACCAAAUAGAGGGACAUUAGGCGUGGUCCGCGUCGUCCCCGGGUAGGUCGCUUGAGCGUCAUGGUGACAUGGCGCCUAGAUGAAUGAUAAUCCUAGACAGAACCCGGCUUACGGCCAACUCCCACU